RNAcentral lists this ribosomal RNA (253 nucleotides) under uncultured bacterium. RNAcentral's name for it is "partial 16S ribosomal RNA". It matches the Rfam family "Bacterial small subunit ribosomal RNA", at positions 524 to 776 of the family's 1533-position model. The record is from RNAcentral.
UACGUAGGGUGCAAGCGUUAAUCGGAAUUACUGGGCGUAAAGCGUGCGCAGGCGGCUCUGCAAGACAGAUGUGAAAUCCCCGGGCUCAACCUGGGAACUGCAUUUGUGACUGCAGGGCUAGAGUACGGUAGAGGGGGAUGGAAUUCCGCGUGUAGCAGUGAAAUGCGUAGAUAUGCGGAGGAACACCGAUGGCGAAGGCAAUCCCCUGGACCUGUACUGACGCUCAUGCACGAAAGCGUGGGGAGCAAACAGG